AUUUAUAUAAUAUAAAAAUUAUAAUUGACUUCCAAUCAGUAAAUCUAAAUUAUUUAGUAUAAAUA
RNAcentral lists this transfer RNA (65 nucleotides) under Stictoleptura succedanea. RNAcentral's name for it is "tRNA-Gly". The record is from RNAcentral. Lineage: Eukaryota; Metazoa; Arthropoda; Insecta; Coleoptera; Cerambycidae.